Molecule: long non-coding RNA, 1236 nt
Organism: Amphimedon queenslandica
Lineage: Eukaryota; Metazoa; Porifera; Demospongiae; Haplosclerida; Niphatidae
Exons: 2
Source: RefSeq, a predicted model, not a curated record
UUGUUUUAUUUUUAUUCUGAAUGAAAACGUAAUAUUAUGACGUAUUUCCGGUGAAACAAGCCUCAGAACAUCCGGUCGGGCCGUGUUUCAUAUCCAGGGGUAUAUAGUAUCUAUGGUGCCAUCGAGGGGUUCGCAACGGGCUUGUAAUCUCGUAGAAACUCUUUGGUAAUCCAGUAAUCCAAAAGAUAAUCUUGGAAUAAUCCAGUAAUCUUGGAAGAAUUCAGUAAUCUGUAAUCCAGGAUUUAACAAAUUUACUGAAAAAUCCUAAUAAUAAUUUUGAGUAUCCAAAAUUAAAACCCCACCCCUUGGUUUUAUAAAAAGUUAUUAAAACCACACCCAUUAUUAAUUAAUAAGGUGUGGCUCAAAACCAAAUUAAUCAACUUGUAAUCCUUGGUAAUCCAAGUAAUCCAGCUUGUAAUCCUUGGUAAUCCAAGUAAUCCAGCUUGUAAUCCCUGGUAAUCCAAAGAAUCUACCUAUAAUCUUGGUAAUCCACUCAUAAUCUUGGAAUUCUCCUGAGAUUUUCGUCCCGUUGCGAACCCCUCGGGUGCCAUAGAUAUUAGAGUUACAGGGAUAGGAAACUUCCGUUCGCGGGAAAUCAAGCUACCUUCCCCAUACCGUAUUAAUUCUUUCUAAUUGUCAGUAUCUUUCAUUUUUACACUGAGUAGAGGUGGGCGAUACCAGAAAUUUUGAAUCGAUACCGAUACCAAGUAGUCUGAGUCUCAGUAUCGAUGGUAUCGAGUAGUGAAUGAGUAGUCACUACUGCGCAUGCGCAAAUAAGUUAUAAUUAGUUAUAAAUAAAAAUGAAAAGAAAUAACCCACCAUUUUUGUAAUUAUUAAAGGGCGUGGCCACAACUAUGACGUCAAAAAUAGGUGUGGUAGGGCGUGGUUACUCACUACUCGAUACCAGGAUUUGGUAUCGAGUACUUGGUAUCGGAGGCCUGGUAUCGGAUAUAUGAGUACUUUGGUAUCAUAUCGCCCACCUCUAACACUGAGCAAUGGUGGCUAGUUUUUGAUGUUGCAGGUCUUUCUCAUCGUCUUUCAGCCUGUUCAGGUCCACUGUAUCAACUUUAAAAUGAACUUGUAAUGGAGCCAUGUCUGUAUUCUUCCUUUAUUUUAGCUAUCUGAUGUUUAUUUUAUUAUUUGGCUCCUCAAAAUUAGAAUGUUGAUGAUGCAUCACUUUAUUUCAUGUGUCUCAAACAAAAAUUUUUUUGAGGUACUUAGAGUAUUUUAAAACAA